GGAGAGGUAGCUCAGGUGGUAGAGCAACGUAAGUAGUCUUGAUAAAGGCUCAAACAGCAAUAAUCUAUUGAUUGGUAAUCCGUUUGUCGUGGGUUCGAUUCCCAUCCUCUCCA
RNAcentral lists this transfer RNA (113 nucleotides) under Thomasclavelia spiroformis. Its description in RNAcentral is "tRNA-Thr". It matches the Rfam family "tRNA". Rfam says of the family: Transfer RNA (tRNA) molecules are approximately 80 nucleotides in length. Lineage: Bacteria; Bacillati; Bacillota; Erysipelotrichia; Erysipelotrichales; Coprobacillaceae. The record is from RNAcentral. RNAcentral also lists the same sequence under 4 other names.